GAUGAACGCUGGCGGCGUGCCUAAUACAUGCAAGUCGAGCGAACAGACGAGGAGCUUGCUCCUCUGACGUUAGCGGCGGACGGGUGAGUAACACGUGGAUAACCUACCUAUAAGACUGGGAUAGCUUCGGGAAACCGGAGCUAAUACCGGAUAAUAUAUUGAACCGCAUGGUUCAAUAGUGAAAGACGGUUUUGCUGUCACUUAUAGAUGGAUCCGCGCCGCAUUAGCUAGUUGGUAAGGUAACGGCUUACCAAGGCGACGAUGCGUAGCCGACCUGAGAGGGUGAUCGGCCACACUGGAACUGAGACACGGUCCAGACUCCUACGGGAGGCAGCAGUAGGGAAUCUUCCGCAAUGGGCGAAAGCCUGACGGAGCAACGCCGCGUGAGUGAUGAAGGUCUUCGGAUCGUAAAACUCUGUUUUUAGGGAAGAACAAAUGUGUAAGUAACUAUGCACGUCUUGACGGUACCUAAUCAGAAAGCCACGGCUAACUACGU
This 496-nucleotide ribosomal RNA is filed under the name uncultured bacterium. RNAcentral describes it as "partial 16S ribosomal RNA". It matches the Rfam family "Bacterial small subunit ribosomal RNA", at positions 28 to 506 of the family's 1533-position model. The record is from RNAcentral.